RNAcentral lists this ribosomal RNA (1372 nucleotides) under uncultured bacterium. RNAcentral's name for it is "bacterial SSU rRNA". It matches the Rfam family "Bacterial small subunit ribosomal RNA", at positions 28 to 1381 of the family's 1533-position model. The record is from RNAcentral.
GAUGAACGCUGGCGGCGUGCCUAAUACAUGCAAGUCGAGCGAACGGACGAGAAGCUUGCUUCUCUGAUGUUAGCGGCGGACGGGUGAGUAACACGUGGAUAACCUACCUAUAAGACUGGGAUAACUUCGGGAAACCGGAGCUAAUACCGGAUAAUAUUUUGAACCGCAUGGUUCAAAAGUGAAAGACGGUCUUGCUGUCACUUAUAGAUGGAUCCGCGCUGCAUUAGCUAGUUGGUAAGGUAACGGCUUACCAAGGCAACGAUGCAUAGCCGACCUGAGAGGGUGAUCGGCCACACUGGAACUGAGACACGGUCCAGACUCCUACGGGAGGCAGCAGUAGGGAAUCUUCCGCAAUGGGCGAAAGCCUGACGGAGCAACGCCGCGUGAGUGAUGAAGGUCUUCGGAUCGUAAAACUCUGUUAUUAGGGAAGAACAUAUGUGUAAGUAACUGUGCACAUCUUGACGGUACCUAAUCAGGAAGCCACGGCUAACUACGUGCCAGCAGCCGCGGUAAUACGUAGGUGGCAAGCGUUAUCCGGAAUUAUUGGGCGUAAAGCGCGCGUAGGCGGUUUUUUAAGUCUGAUGUGAAAGCCCACGGCUCAACCGUGGAGGGUCAUUGGAAACUGGAAAACUUGAGUGCAGAAGAGGAAAGUGGAAUUCCAUGUGUAGCGGUGAAAUGCGCAGAGAUAUGGAGGAACACCAGUGGCGAAGGCGACUUUCUGGUCUGUAACUGACGCUGAUGUGCGAAAGCGUGGGGAUCAAACAGGAUUAGAUACCCUGGUAGUCCACGCCGUAAACGAUGAGUGCUAAGUGUUAGGGGGUUUCCGCCCCUUAGUGCUGCAGCUAACGCAUUAAGCACUCCGCCUGGGGAGUACGACCGCAAGGUUGAAACUCAAAGGAAUUGACGGGGACCCGCACAAGCGGUGGAGCAUGUGGUUUAAUUCGAAGCAACGCGAAGAACCUUACCAAAUCUUGACAUCCUUUGACAACUCUAGAGAUAGAGCCUUCCCCUUCGGGGGACAAAGUGACAGGUGGUGCAUGGUUGUCGUCAGCUCGUGUCGUGAGAUGUUGGGUUAAGUCCCGCAACGAGCGCAACCCUUAAGCUUAGUUGCCAUCAUUAAGUUGGGCACUCUAAGUUGACUGCCGGUGACAAACCGGAGGAAGGUGGGGAUGACGUCAAAUCAUCAUGCCCCUUAUGAUUUGGGCUACACACGUGCUACAAUGGACAAUACAAAGGGCAGCGAAACCGCGAGGUCAAGCAAAUCCCAUAAAGUUGUUCUCAGUUCGGAUUGUAGUCUGCAACUCGACUACAUGAAGCUGGAAUCGCUAGUAAUCGUAGAUCAACAUGCUACGGUGAAUACGUUCCCGGGUCU